AUAUUUAAUUAUGCACAAACAUUGUGCAAAGUGUAAAAGAGGCUAGGUAUUAAGUUUAUAUUCAGAAGAUUUUUUCCCUCUGUCUCUCCUCCUCUCUGUAUAUCUGAGUUUCCAAUAAAAAUGAAUAAAUCUAUUCUAUAAACAAGAAAAUAUCUUGCUUAAAAUUUAAACUCUGUAAAGACCUUUAGUUGAAUAUCCAUUGUUUUUGGAGGUCUCUGUUACAGCAAGUUACUGAACAAAUUUGUAAGUAAUAGUUUUUUUUUUUUUUUCUUUAUUGUGUUUAGCCCUACCCCAGUGAUGGGCGGGGAAGGAACAAAGAUAAGAGAUGGGGAAGGAGAGUGCAGUGAGCGACAGACAAAGAAAGAGGUGAGUGAAAGCAGAAGAAUGGGAAGGUAUAGAGGUGGGUAUUGGGAGUGCAGGGCUGCAGGCGUGGCAGAUGCAGAUGUAAGUGGACAAAGGGGAUAAAUACCACAGGACAUUGGUGAAUAGAGCUGUCAGGUAUCAUGUUAUAAAGUACAGAGGAUUUGCAGAGAAUUCAAUUUAAACCUAAAGGGCAUGAAGCUUACAGUUAUGACACUCUAAGGUGUUCAAGACCUAGGAGUGGCAGGUAUUUAAGGUGGCACAUCUGCCUUAGUGGCCACUGUCCCAUUCAGUUCUUAAAAUAAAGUAAUGAAUAGAUAGAAUUUUUUCUAAAGGUAUAGAAUAUCUAAUAAUACUGCUUAUUGAACAGAGUGAAUGAUUCUUUACAAGCAGCUGGCUUAUGUUGCAGGCGCUUGGACAAUUGACUUUAAUGAUGUGGUUUAAAGGAAAGAUUUUUAAAAUGGGUAAAUGCAAGGAUGAAUAUGGGUCCCAGUCAUGUGAGGUGUUCAAACUGUAGAUAACUUACAGUGCCAUGAGCAAGAUCUGAGAUACAUAAAAGUAGGCAUAGCCAGAGGCACAUAGGGCUGGAUACAGGAAACAGACAAAACUUGUUAGCAUAGGUUUCUGAAACACAAGAAAGAAUACAAAGCAUACCAGAUAAACUGGCACAGUAAAUGGGGCCCUGUUUUCAUUUAUAGUGAAUUCAUUUAUAGCCUCAAGUGUUUGAGUAUACUAAAAAUCAGCUAUUGUGACAAUUCAUUAACAGCUACCCAGAAUGGGGCAAGGCCACCCAGUGUCAUCCAAAGAUCCGUCUCAUCUACUUUCUUCCAUUCCUCAACCUCCCCACUGUAAUCAAUUGUCUUCAUGGGCAUGCAUCCCUCUCAAGUUUAUCCCUGAACCCACUAUAUGCUUCCACGUCUAGAGAACAGAAACACACUUUCAGUAAGUUAUAUGUUUAUGUCUCUGUGUUACAUUGUGUUGUAGGAGCUUUAUGAUGGUUUUCUUAAACUGAAACAAAGAAAUAACCAUUGGAGAAAGAAGGUAAGAUUGUCAUAACUAGACAUUGGAGCAGUUAAAUCUGAUUCAAACUUUUCCUCCAAGUUUUCUGAUAAUAUAACUAAGAUAUAUUUAUUACAUGAUUCAAAUUUAAAGUAAGAAUUUGUUAAUUA
Molecule: long non-coding RNA, 1529 nt
Organism: Ochotona curzoniae (black-lipped pika)
Lineage: Eukaryota; Metazoa; Chordata; Mammalia; Lagomorpha; Ochotonidae
Exons: 2
Source: RefSeq, a predicted model, not a curated record